AGUUAGCGGCGAACUGGUGAGUAACACGUAGGUAAUCUGCCGUGAAGUGGGGGAUAACCCAUGGAAACAUGGACUAAUACCGCAUAUACUCUUGCUACAUAAGUAGAGUAGAGGAAAGUUUUUUCGCUUCACGAUGAGCCUGCGGCCUAUUAGCCUGUUGGUAGGGUAAUGGCCUACCAAAGCUACGAUAGGUAGCCGACCUGAGAGGGUGACCGGCCACAUUGGGACUGAGAUACGGCCCAGACUCCUACGGGAGGCAGCAGCUGAGAAUCUUCCACAAUGGACGAAAGUCUGAUGGAGCGACAUCGCGUGAGGGAUGAAGGCCUUCGGGUUGUAAACCUCGGAAAUUAUCGAAGAAUGAGUGACAGUAGAUAAUGUAAGCCUCGGCUAACUACGUGCCCCAACCGCGGUAAUACG
RNAcentral lists this ribosomal RNA (417 nucleotides) under Brachyspira pilosicoli. Its description in RNAcentral is "bacterial SSU rRNA". It matches the Rfam family "Bacterial small subunit ribosomal RNA", at positions 90 to 527 of the family's 1533-position model. Lineage: Bacteria; Pseudomonadati; Spirochaetota; Spirochaetia; Brachyspirales; Brachyspiraceae. The record is from RNAcentral.